This 253-nucleotide ribosomal RNA is filed under the name uncultured bacterium. Its description in RNAcentral is "partial 16S ribosomal RNA". It matches the Rfam family "Bacterial small subunit ribosomal RNA", at positions 524 to 776 of the family's 1533-position model. The record is from RNAcentral.
UACGUAGGGAGCAAGCGUUGUCCGGAUUUAUUGGGCGUAAAGAGCGUGUAGGCGGCCUGACAGGUCUGCUGUGAAAACUCGAGGCUCAACCUCGAGAUGUCGGCGGAAACCGUCUGGCUAGAGUCCGGAAGAGGAGAGUGGAAUUCCUGGUGUAGCGGUGAAAUGCGCAGAUAUCAGGAAGAACACCUAUGGCGAAGGCAGCUCUCUGGGACGGUACUGACGCUGAGACGCGAAAGCGUGGGGAGCGAACAGG